ACCGGCAGCUCAAGUGGUGGCCAUUAUUAUUGGGCCUAAAGCGUUCGUAGCCGGUUUGAUAAGUCUCUGGUGAAAUCCCGCAGCUUAACUGUGGGACUUGCUGGAUAAACUAUCAGACUUGAGGUCGGGAGAGGUUAGGGGUACUCCCAGGGUAGGGGUGAAAUGCGAAGAUAUCUGGAGGACCACCUGUGGCGAAGGCGGCUAACUGGAACGAACCUGACGGUGAGUAACGAAAGCCAGGGGAGCGAACCG
RNAcentral lists this ribosomal RNA (252 nucleotides) under uncultured prokaryote. Its description in RNAcentral is "partial 16S rRNA". It matches the Rfam family "Archaeal small subunit ribosomal RNA", at positions 475 to 726 of the family's 1478-position model. The record is from RNAcentral.